UCUGCGUAAAUUAACCCUAGGGGAUUUGCUGACUUCCGAUUGUUUUUACUUUACCUCAAGAGAUGAGGCACCUACAGUAAAAAGCAGUAAGUCGGUUUCGGACCUUCGCAAGGUAUGUGUUUUUGAUUUUGUAUUAAAAAUAAGUGCCAAGUGCUUGUUAAGAAUUAUGGAUGAUGCACAUCGAUUAAUACCAUACGAAAUUAUAGAUGAUAUUAAUAAUAAAUAAAAGCACACGGUGCUUCUAUCUUCAAAAUUUCUAGAAUCAGAAGUCGCACGUAAAAUUUUGAAAAAUGCAAAAAUUGCCGGCAUAUCUUCCAAUAUGUCCAUUGAUACAUCAAAAGAAAACAAAAGUUCCGAAACGAUUUUGGAAGAAAUGCGAGAGUCUUGGCGAUUUUUUUUGUUUAUGAAGUGAAGUUU
Molecule: long non-coding RNA, 417 nt
Organism: Pogonomyrmex barbatus (red harvester ant)
Lineage: Eukaryota; Metazoa; Arthropoda; Insecta; Hymenoptera; Formicidae
Source: RefSeq, a predicted model, not a curated record